Molecule: ribosomal RNA, 427 nt
Filed under: uncultured bacterium
Lineage: Bacteria
Description: partial 16S ribosomal RNA
Rfam family: Bacterial small subunit ribosomal RNA
Source: RNAcentral
UGGGGAAUAUUGCACAAUGGGCGCAAGCCUGAUGCAGCCAUGCCGCGUGUAUGAAGAAGGCCUUCGGGUUGUAAAGUACUUUCAGCGGGGCGGAAGGUGUUGAGGUUAAUAACUUCAGCAAUUGACGUUACCCGCAGAAGAAGCACCGGCUAACUCCGUGCCAGCAGCCGCGGUAAUACGGAGGGUGCACGCGUUAAUCGGAAUUACUGGGCGUAAAGCGCACGCAGGCGGUCUGUCAAGUCGGAUGUGAAAUCCCCGGGCUCAACCUGGGAACUGCAUUCGAAACUGGCAGGCUAGAGUCUUGUAGAGGGGGGUAGAAUUCCAGGUGUAGCGGUGAAAUGCGUAGAGAUCUGGAGGAAUACCGGUGGCGAAGGCGGCCCCCUGGACAAAGACUGACGCUCAGGUGCGAAAGCGUGGGGAGCAAACA